Molecule: transfer RNA, 87 nt
Filed under: Candidatus Pelagibacterales bacterium
Lineage: Bacteria; Pseudomonadati; Pseudomonadota; Alphaproteobacteria; Candidatus Pelagibacterales
Description: tRNA-Leu
Rfam family: tRNA
About the family: Transfer RNA (tRNA) molecules are approximately 80 nucleotides in length. Their secondary structure includes four short double-helical elements and three loops (D, anti-codon, and T loops).
Source: RNAcentral
GCCANUGUGGCGGAACUGGUAGACGCGGCGGAUUCAAAAUCCGCUUGAGGNAACUCAGUGUCGGUUCGAGUCCGACCAGUGGUACCA